Molecule: long non-coding RNA, 236 nt
Organism: Stegastes partitus (bicolor damselfish)
Lineage: Eukaryota; Metazoa; Chordata; Actinopteri; Pomacentridae
Exons: 2
Source: RefSeq, a predicted model, not a curated record
GAGCAGGAGGAGGGGAUGAAGGUGGUGAAGAGGAAGAACUUCCGCAAGGCCUUGGACCGAGCGUUUCGCCGCGGCUGGGAGGCCUUCAUCACCAACCUCUACAGCGUCACGCUCACGCCCGUCACCUCCUCGCCGUCGUCCCCUUCGUCGAAGAAGAAGCUCCAGCACAGCUCGGUGUUAGCCGAGUUUCAGUAGAGCCGGAGGACGACAUGGACAAUAAAAGCAAACUCUUUUUU